ACUCAAAUGAAUUGACGGGGGCCCGCACAAGCGGAGGAGCAUGUGGUUUAAUUCGAUGAUACGCGAGGAACCUUACCUGGGCUUGAAAGUUAGUGAAUGCCGUAGAAACAUGGCAGCAAGCAAUUGCACGAAACUAGGUGCUGCAUGGCUGUCGUCAGCUCGUGCCGUGAGGUGUUGGGUUAAGUCCCGUAACGAGCGCAACCCCUAUCAUUAGUUGCCAACAGGUCAUGCUGGGGACUCUAAUGAGACUGCCCGCGCAAGCGGUGAGGAAGGUGGGGAUGACGUCAAGUCAUCACGGCCCUUACGUCCAGGGCUACACACGUGCUACAAUGGUCGGUACAAUGGGCAGCCACAUGGCAACAUGGAGCUAAUCCUUAAAACCGGUCUCAGUUCGGAUUGAGGUCUGCAACUCGACCUCAUGAAGCUGGAUUCGCUAGUAAUCGUACAUCAGCAAUGGUACGGUGAAUACGUUCCCGGGCCUUGUACACACCGCCCGU
RNAcentral lists this ribosomal RNA (497 nucleotides) under uncultured bacterium. RNAcentral describes it as "partial 16S ribosomal RNA". It matches the Rfam family "Bacterial small subunit ribosomal RNA", at positions 899 to 1397 of the family's 1533-position model. The record is from RNAcentral.